This 489-nucleotide ribosomal RNA is filed under the name uncultured bacterium. RNAcentral's name for it is "partial 16S ribosomal RNA". It matches the Rfam family "Bacterial small subunit ribosomal RNA", at positions 28 to 507 of the family's 1533-position model. The record is from RNAcentral.
GACGAACGCUGGCGGCGUGCUUAACACAUGCAAGUCGAACGGUGAAGGGACCAGCUUGCUGGUUCUGGAUGAGUGGCGAACGGGUGAGUAACACGUGAGUAACCUGCCCCCUUCUUCUGGAUAACCGCAUGAAAGUGUGGCUAAUACGGGAUAUUCUGGGUCUGUCGCAUGGCGGGCCCGGGAAAGAUAUUGCUUCGGUGGGGGAUGGGCUCGCGGCCUAUCAGCUUGUUGGUGGGGUGAUGGCCUACCAAGGCGGUGACGGGUAGCCGGCCUGAGGGGGUGGACGGUCACACUGGGACUGAGACACGGCCCAGACUCCUACGGGAGGCAGCAGUGGGGAAUAUUGCACAAUGGGCGCAAGCCUGAUGCAGCGACGCCGCGUGAGGGAUGGAGGCCUUCGGGUUGUAAACCUCUUUCGCCAGUGAAGCAGGCCUGCUCCUUGUGGGUGGGUUGACGGUAGCUGGAUAAGAAGCGCCGGCUAACUACGUG